CCAUAUGAUGCAUGAUUUGGUAUUCAUUCCAACCCCCAAGCCAUUUGUCAUGGCCUGACACCCUGACACUUCUGACCACCUGUUGUGACGCACUGGAAUCUUGAAUGUUGUUGUAAAUGUAAAAGAAAUAUUGUUUAUUGGUGUCUCAGUGUUAUAGCCUUGAUUAUAAACCAGAGAUUAAAUUUGCAAAGAUAAACCCCGUUCAAGGUAAGAUUAGUAUUUUUAAAAAUAUGCUGGAAUUGCGACCAGGAUUGAACAUAAUGGUUUUCAAACGUUCUCUGGUUGGAAAUUUUUAUCACAAGCUUUCGGCUGCCAAACUGCAGCCUUCGACCGCGGGUAGUUAUAUAAAAUACAAUAAUUACAGACGAGUAUAAACGGUUUUAUAGGCGUAUACUUUGCGUGGCGUAGGCAAACCUCCCAGCACGAGGUUGAGCGUAUACUUUGUAAUUGUAUUAUAAU
Paramuricea clavata is the source of this 459-nucleotide non-coding RNA. The record is from the annotation of a GenBank genome assembly. Lineage: Eukaryota; Metazoa; Cnidaria; Anthozoa; Malacalcyonacea; Plexauridae.